GUGCAGCAGGCGAGAAUACUUUACAAUGUGCGAAAGCACGAUAAGGGAACUCUGAGUGCCUCCUAAGGAGGCUGUUCAGGUGUCUAAAAGCACCUGGAGUAAGGGCUGGGUAAGACCGGUGCCAGCCGCCGCGGUAACACCGGCAGCCCAGGUGGUAGCCACUUUUAUUGGGUCUAAAGCGUCCGUAGCCGGUUGAGUAAGUUCCUUGGGAAAUUUGGCUGCUCAACAGUCAAGCUUCCAGGGAAUACUGCUCGACUUGGGACUGGGAGAGGUCAGAGGUACUCCAGGGGUAGGGGUGAAAAUCCAUUAAUCCCUGGGGGACCACCGGUAGCGAAGGCGUCUGACCAGACCAGGUCCGACGGUGAGGGGACGAAGGCUAGGGUCGCGAACCGGAUUAGA
Molecule: ribosomal RNA, 399 nt
Filed under: uncultured microorganism
Description: bacterial SSU rRNA
Rfam family: Archaeal small subunit ribosomal RNA
Source: RNAcentral